RNAcentral lists this ribosomal RNA (459 nucleotides) under uncultured bacterium. RNAcentral describes it as "partial 16S ribosomal RNA". It matches the Rfam family "Bacterial small subunit ribosomal RNA", at positions 339 to 795 of the family's 1533-position model. The record is from RNAcentral.
CUACGGGCGGCAGCAGUGAGGAAUAUUGGUCAAUGGGCGGAAGCCUGAACCAGCCAUCCCGCGUGCAGGAUGACGGCCCUAUGGGUUGUAAACUGCUUUUAUUUGCCAAGAAACCUACUUACGUGUAAGUAGUUGACGGUAGCAAAUGAAUAAGCACCGGCUAACUCCGUGCCAGCAGCCGCGGUAAUACGGAGGGUGCAAGCGUUAUCCGGAUUUAUUGGGUUUAAAGGGUGCGCAGGCGGAAAUGUAAGUCAGUGGUGAAAUACUGCCGCUCAACGGUAGGGCUGCCAUUGAUACUGCGUUUCUUGAGUAUGGGUGAGGUAGGCGGAAUGUGCGGUGUAGCGGUGAAAUGCAUAGAUAUCGCGCAGAACGCCGAUUGCGAAGGCAGCUUACUAGGCCAUUACUGACGCUGAGGCACGAAAGCGUGGGUAGCGAACAGGAUUAGAUACCCCGGUAGUC